This 253-nucleotide ribosomal RNA is filed under the name uncultured bacterium. Its description in RNAcentral is "partial 16S ribosomal RNA". It matches the Rfam family "Bacterial small subunit ribosomal RNA", at positions 524 to 776 of the family's 1533-position model. The record is from RNAcentral.
UACAGAGGGGGCAAGCGUUGUUCGGAAUUACUGGGCGUAAAGGGCGCGUAGGCGGCCUGUUAAGUCGAACGUGAAAUCCCCGGGCUCAACCCGGGAACUGCGUCCGAUACUGGCUGGCUUGAAUCCGGGAGAGGGAUGUGGAAUUCCAGGUGUAGCGGUGAAAUGCGUAGAUAUCUGGAGGAACACCGGUGGCGAAGGCGACAUCCUGGACCGGUAUUGACGCUGAGGCGCGAAAGCCAGGGGAGCAAACGGG